GCCUCAAACAGGUCGUCUCUGACUACCAGCAGAAGGACUACAAUGUCAAUAACCUAAAUGGUUUAUUAUUGGCCUUAAACAAAUUCCUGAAAGACAGAUCACCUGAGAAGCAAAAGACGAAGGUAUGCCGUGUUUUUAUGAAGCAUUUAAGUUAUGCUCAGCAGUGCAUUUGUCACUGCAUUAGCAAAUGUUUAUCAGUGAAAAAAAGCAACAAAGCCUGUUCAGUAAACUUUUCCCCUUAGGCAGUUGGUGGGAACAGUUUUCAAUGCCUUCAAGGCCAGAAUUUCUGAAGCCUUCCGUAAAAGUGAAAGUCUUCCCUGUGGUUGCUGCUAAAACCUACGGCGCAGACACACAGAUCCUCAAACAGGUUGACAUGGAAGUCUGUUCCAGCCCAGCAGACUGUGAUGUGGUGGUGGUCUUCUGCCCAGUAACCUCUCGUGUUGGGUUGGAUGUGGACGACGCCAUUAGGAAUAUCCCAGGUGGGGCAAGUGGAAAGAAUGUUAUUCUAUUGAUAAUGCAUCAUUCGAGGAAAGACAUUUCUCCAGCAGAGGUCCAGCUGAACCAUGGACAUCAGAACGUCAUUCAAGAUGUUCAUGUGGUCUACCAUGAAACGCUGCAGGGAUUAGUAAAAUGCAGAACAAAUGACCAAGCCUUACAGACCCUGAAAGACUGGUGCAAGGCUUUCACACGUUAACCACAAUUCAAUACAAGCUUCAACUAAUUUACAAAUUACAUGGAAUCCAAAUUGCAUGUGAAAUAUAAAUUAAGACUCCCUGUGAAAACUCUUUGUUUGCCUCUAGGUUUGCCUUGUUUUCCUAAAUAACUCAAUAAAAGUACAAUAAUGUACUGUAUAUGAUACGAUGUGAUUUUUUUUUUCUCUCAGUUUUGGCUUAAGUCUCAAAUCAGAACUGCUAUUAAAUAUAAUUGUACAGUAAUUGUUAAUGCCUGUCGUUUAAAUUCCUGGAUGGGUUGGAAUUUUACUCUCCAUGAAGAUAAAAGAAUAUUAUCAGUGUCCACUCAAAUGGCCUGUUGCUGCCAUGGAUACAGCGUGUGAGAUCACAGCAGGACCUGCAGAAGCUGGAUAUGAGGUCAGAAGAUUAUUUCCCCACUGAAAAUAUACUUUGUGAUCUAGGGGAGAAUCUUUGGCCCAACAGAAAUGAACGUCAGAAUUUGUAAGAAGCACAAUGAUACUACAAUAAUACUGUAGUUAUGUCAACUAUCUUUUGGAAACCACUGAUGAGUUACUUACCAUUUUCUGUUAACACUUAAAACAGUGUGUGAUUAGCCAUUCAAACAAUGUUGUGUUGAACUUAUUUUCAAGACCAAGACAGUCACAUGGAACUUCAAUCUGUGAUAUCUCUUACUUUAUUUCUUCAGUACAUUGAAAAUAGUGAAGCAUUUUGAUAUGUCCAUAAACAAUAAAGACCUUUGCAUUAUGAGAGCUUUCCCUGAUACAAAUCCUUAACUUUAAUUCAGUUAUUAAGCUUUUGAGCUGGUGAUGUGAUUCUGCAAUUGUUACAUUGCAUUUUGCUGUUUGUACAGAUUAUUUAUCAAACUUUCAAACUUUUUAAAUGACCAGCGGUGAUCUGGGCCAAAGCUACUGGGAAAAACUGUACAACCAUAUUCUUGAGGCAGUUACAACUUCUACUUCUACGCAUUGUACAAAUAAAAAAUAAAUAAUAAAAAGGGUUGAUUUUAGUUCAGUAUUGUUCAAUUGAUUGUUAAUUGUUCUCAACUGAUGUAGUUUCAGGAUUCAACCUCUGUGACCCACCUAAAAAUAUGACUUUAAAAAAAAAAAACAUUUCUGACCUCCAGGUUAAAAACCACCGGGCCAAUUGAAUAUUAAAAUACUGUGGCAAUGCGAGGGUUAACUUAGCUGUUUUAAACAUAAGAUUGCCAGACAACGCCAGCUGGAGAUGGCCAGCACCAGAACUAAGUAAAGCACGUAGGUUCGUUGUUGAGUAGAUGGAUCAUAGAGGCCAGGCACUUUAUAGAAAAGUUUUACAUUUAUUUUCACAUUCUUUAGUUAAAAUCAUGUUGUUCCAAAGUCGUUUCACAGUUCGUUUGGUUACUUGUUUUCAGUCCAUAUUUCAGUUACCACAGUCUACCCAUGACGUUGCGCACCUACGGCGCUCCACGAAUCCAGUGACAGGGGAAUAAUAACAGAACAGGCGAACAAAAAGGUGGUAAAAGGGCGGAGAAAAAGGGCAAGGAAAAAGGCAGGCGGCAGUGACGACUCUCCUUGGUCCCAGACGUCUACAGAAGCAAGAAGGCACAUCACUACGAGUAUAAUUUACGAUUGUUAUUUCUAGAGUAACGACGCCACAAACCUGAGCGGGGCAUUUGCAUGGCUCGGGGCUUUGACAGCGGAGUCCGAGUCAACGCAGCCAAUCCACUCAACUACUAGCAUGACCAGUUACAGGGAGACCGCGGGCCCAUGAAGGCGCCGCGACAAACUAAACGUUAACAAUAUAGUUAAUACCAACUUAAGAUAUUUAGAUUUAGCGACCAAUAGGAUACUACCUGGACUGGAGAGUGACGAGGAGCAACAACCACAACACAAGACUGGGCGUACAGGAAGUCAGAGGUCAAACAAUUAACGGAAGUGCUAUUUAUCAGGUGACAGCUGGCGCGCACAGCCAAUCACCAUCAAAACUACAAGUGGCAGUGCCCGCCUGCAGGCAUACUGCCACAAUACUUAAUCCAAAGGUUCUGUUGUUUUGAGCUUUUAUCAUCAGGCUAACUAACAAAACUAUAUAUCAACAUUUGUCUUGGCAAAGGCUCACAACUACCCACUGAAGAUGCACCUGCGACCCACUUUUGAGACCUGAGCCACCAAUGGAGAAGCACUGGUUUAGCUGCUCCAAAUGUUUCCCUCUAAGGGACAUAUAAAGAGAAUUUUAGCCUUGACCAGAGCUAAUUAAAGUGACUAUAUACAGCAAAUGACCUGUCUCUGCAUCAGCUCUGACUUGCAAUCAGAUAGCCCCCUCCAAUCAGCCGUAAAAACAGAUUUUGUUAAGUAUACCAAAGUGAAUGGUUACUGUGAGUUUUUCGGCCAUCAAGGUCACACAUGAGCAGACG
Molecule: long non-coding RNA, 3081 nt
Filed under: Neogobius melanostomus (round goby)
Lineage: Eukaryota; Metazoa; Chordata; Actinopteri; Gobiiformes; Gobiidae
Description: lncRNA (ENSNMLG00000009423.1)
Source: RNAcentral